UCCCACGCCAACAUCAACCAACGAGGAGCUGACAGAAAUAAGACGGGGCUUAUCAGAGGACCUGAGCCCUAGGACCAUGCCUCAGGACUACCUGGCCUGAUUACUCCUUGCUGUCCCCAGUCCACCUGGUCAUGCUACUGCUUCAGUUUCAACUGUUCUGCCUGCGGCUAUGGAACCCUGACCUGUUCACUGGACGUGCUACCUUGUCCCGGACCUGCUGUUUUGGACUCUCUCUCUACCACACCUGCUGUCUCUAACGCUGAAUGAUUGGCUAUGAAAAGCCAACUGACAUUUACUCUUGAGGUGCUGACCUGUUGCAUCCUCUACAACCACUGUGAUUAUUAUUAUCUGACCCUGCUGGUCAUCUAUGAACGUUUGAACAUCUUGGCCAUGUUCUGCAUGUUCUGUUAUAAUCUCCACCCGGCACAGCCAGAAGAGGACUGGCCACCCCUCAGAGCCUGGUUCGUCUCUAGGUUUCUUCCUAGGUUCUGGCCUGUCUAGGGAGUUUUUCCUAGCCACCUUGCUUCUACAUCUGCAUUGAUUGCUGUUUGGGGUUUUAGGCUGGGUUUCUGUACAGCACUUUGUGACAUCGGCUGAUGUAAAAAGGGCUUUAUAAAUAAAUGUGAUUUAUUGAUUGAUCGGCCAUUGGACAUAAAGAUUACACAACAAGUUGGAAAUCACAAAUUAAACAAUACAUUUUUCCGAGUUCCCACCAUAAAUCCAGAGAAUGCCAGACAAGCCAAGGUGAGUCCAAAAAUGUCUUGUAUGCUGCUGCAUAAAUGAUGUAAUAUGCAAGGUAGAUAUGUAUACUGUAGCUAAGAAAGUAAUACUAAGUGUAUGUUGUGUAGUAAGCUGUUAGUAGCCCAUGUGCCUCACCCUAAUAAUUUGGUCUAUUUUCACCUCUUGAUUUCACCUAACGUUACUGUUCUGACUUGGUGGUGCUGCACAUGUAGCCUAUAACCUGUUUUUGAGAAAUAUCAUCAUCCAAUAUUGUAAUAGGUUUCAUUGUCUGCGUAUAUGCCCCCUUUAUUUAUCCUAUGGUUCUGACGUGGUGUACAGGGAAAAUACUCUAAGAGCAGCCCAUGUUCUGCAUUCUGUCGCUGUACAUUUCAAAAGUACUGAACACAGUUAUAUUGACCACGUCCGUUGUUGCUCACUCAUGUCUUAAUCGAAAUUACGGAAUGCCUAUUAUCCGCUCAUUGUUUCCUUUUGCCAUAGAUUGUACAUCUCAAUUGUCAGUAGAAACUGCAUUUGUUUAAGCAAGUCAGCCAUAUCAGCUAUGUUUUUUAAAAAGGCAGUAAACGAGGCUGAAUUCAUUGUUUCGCUGACAGACAAGGCUCCGCUGAUAGCCAGGUGUAGCGGUGGUAAGGAUUCACUCCAUGGUGCUGAAAAGAAACCUCUGCUGUUGGGACAGCUUUGUGUAGGCCCUAACAGUUUGUGGGCACCGCUUGUUGCCGUAGUGUCUUGGCUGGCAUGCUGCUAAACAUUUGUAUUUAUUUUUUUCCCCAAUAAGCUAGAUUUACAUGCUAAAAUCGCCACUGCUUGUAUGAUUUUAUUGAAGCCUUAGUGUAACGUUCGCCGUAAGGAGUGGACCAAACUGCAGCGGGUAUAUUUAUCAUCUUUUAUUUGAAGGAAAAAACAACAAAACACUUACACAAAACAAACGACGGAAAACAGUCCCGUAAGGUGCUCAGACUAUACAGGGAAACAACCACCCACAAACACAAGUGAAAACACACACAACUAAAUAUGGCCUCCAAUCAGAGAGGACAAGAAACAGCUGCUUCUGAUUAGAGGUCAUUGACAAAACUAACAGACAUAGAAAAACCACAUAGAAAUAGAAAACAUAAACCAAAAACCCCGAAACACACUAAACAAACACCCCCUGCCACGCCCUGACCAAACUACAAUAACAAACAACCCCUUUUACUGUUCAGGACCUGACAGUUACACCCCCCCCC
Molecule: long non-coding RNA, 1961 nt
Filed under: Salmo salar (Atlantic salmon)
Lineage: Eukaryota; Metazoa; Chordata; Actinopteri; Salmoniformes; Salmonidae
Description: lncRNA (ENSSSAG00000094783.1)
Source: RNAcentral